AACGAACGUUAGCGGCGCGCCUAACACAUGCAAGUCGAACGCGAGAGGGGCAACUCUCUUGAGUGGCGCACGGGUGAGUAACACGUAGGUAAUCUCCCCCCGAGUGGUGGAUAACCUUCCGAAAGGAGGGCUAAUACAGCAUAAGACCACGGCUUCGAAAGGAGCUGAGGUCAAAGCGGAGGAUCGCAAGACUUCGCGCUUGGGGAUGAGCCUGCGGCCCAUCAGGUAGUUGGCGGGGUAAAAGCCCACCAAGCCUAAGACGGGUAGCUGGUCUGAGAGGAUGAUCAGCCACACUGGAACUGAGACACGGUCCAGACUCCUACGGGAGGCAGCAGUGGGGAAUCUUGCGCAAUGGACGAAAGUCUGACGCAGCGACGCCGCGUGGGUGAUGAAGGCCUUCGGGUUGUAAAGCCCUGUGGGGAGGGACGAAUAAGUGUCGGUUAAUACCCGGCGCGAUGACGGUACCUCCUUAGCAAGCACCGGCUAACUCUGUGCCAGCCGCCGCGGUAA
RNAcentral lists this ribosomal RNA (510 nucleotides) under uncultured bacterium. RNAcentral describes it as "partial 16S ribosomal RNA". It matches the Rfam family "Bacterial small subunit ribosomal RNA", at positions 29 to 523 of the family's 1533-position model. The record is from RNAcentral.